UACUCCUUUUAUUAAUUUAUCUUUUGGGGAGUUUUACAAUUUAGUUUUUGAAAUUGUGAAUUUGUGCCCAUGCAUUGGUAGUUUGGUUUUUAGGUGGAAUUGAAAAAAUUUCUACUUUAAAGGGCAUUGUCUCUAUAAAUGAACAAAUGCCAUGGCAGGUUGCAUGAAAGUGGACACAAGCUAAUACAUUUAGAGCCUGCCGCACCUUACAUUGAGGUGACCUCAUUGUGAAACAAGCGAUGCUACUAAUCCCCUGCUUGGUGGAUUCUUAAAUUCAAUAAACUCUGAAGGAAUGUUGGGUCAGUAGCUACCAAGUGCGUUGUCCAUGAAAAUGUAUGAAGGAAUGAAACACCAUCAAUCAAUGGAUUCAAAGCCAUCUCAAGCAUUGUUUUACCUGAAACAAUGAAGGUUAUAUACUGAGUUAAAAGAAUUUAGCACAUGAUAGAAAGUUUGUGUGUACAGAUUUGGUGACUAUGUUUGUACUUAUUCAAAUUGCUAAAGGAAGGCUUUUCAAGGUACAUUUUGUGUGUGAAAGUAUUUGAUGUAAUACUGAGCCAUCGUUGAAGAAUUUAAUUUAAUUGAAAUGAAAAAUGGCCGCACUAACAGAGUCAUUGUGGAA
Molecule: long non-coding RNA, 619 nt
Organism: Lotus japonicus
Lineage: Eukaryota; Viridiplantae; Streptophyta; Magnoliopsida; Fabales; Fabaceae
Exons: 2
Source: RefSeq, a predicted model, not a curated record